GGGUUCGAUUCCCGGUCAGGGAAGUGCAGU
This 30-nucleotide non-coding RNA is filed under the name Cricetulus griseus (Chinese hamster). The record is from RNAcentral. Lineage: Eukaryota; Metazoa; Chordata; Mammalia; Rodentia; Cricetidae.